AAGACUUUAGAUAUGAUCCAGAGUACCACGGGACACGUGAAACCCUGUGGGAAGCAGGAGGGACCACCCUCCAAGGCUAAAUACUACCUAGUGACCGAUAGCGUAUAGUACCGUGAGGGAAAGGUGAAAAGAACCCCGGGAGGGGAGUGAAAUAGAACCUGAAACCCUGCACUUACAAGCUGUGGAAGCACAUUUCUUGUGUGACCGCGUACUUUUUGUAGAACGGGCCAACGAGUUACGUUAAGUAGCAAGGUUAAGCACUUAAGGUGCGGAGCCGUAGCGAAAGCGAGUUUUAACUGAGCGUUCAGUUACUUGACGUAGACCCGAAACCGGGCGACCUACCCAUGAGCAGGAUGAAGCGAAAGGAAAAUUUCGUGGAGGUCCGAACCCACGAGCGUUGAAAAGCUCGGGGAUGACUUGUGGGUAGCGGUGAAAUUCCAAUCGAGCCCGGAGAUAGCUGGUUCUCCCCGAAAUAGCUUUAGGGCUAGCCUCAAGGUGAGAGAUACGGAGGUAGAGCACUGAAUGUCCUAGGGG
RNAcentral lists this ribosomal RNA (534 nucleotides) under Clostridioides difficile. RNAcentral's name for it is "bacterial LSU rRNA". It matches the Rfam family "Bacterial large subunit ribosomal RNA", at positions 390 to 925 of the family's 2925-position model. Lineage: Bacteria; Bacillati; Bacillota; Clostridia; Peptostreptococcales; Peptostreptococcaceae. The record is from RNAcentral.